UACGUAGGGACCUAGCGUUGUCCGGAAUCAUUGGGCGUAAAGCGCGCGUAGGCGGCCCGGUAAGUCCGUUGUAAAAGUCAAAGGCUCAACCUUUGAAAGCCGAUGGAUACUGCCGGGCUAGAGUCCGGAAGAGGCGAGUAGAAUUCCUAGUGUAGAGGUGAAAUUCGUAGAUAUUAGGAAGAACACCAGUGGCGAAGGCGGCUCACUGGUCCGGUACUGACGCUGAGGUGCGAAAGCGUGGGGAGCAAACAGG
This 253-nucleotide ribosomal RNA is filed under the name uncultured bacterium. RNAcentral describes it as "partial 16S ribosomal RNA". It matches the Rfam family "Bacterial small subunit ribosomal RNA", at positions 524 to 776 of the family's 1533-position model. The record is from RNAcentral.